Molecule: ribosomal RNA, 419 nt
Filed under: Eulyes sp. 00004113
Lineage: Eukaryota; Metazoa; Arthropoda; Insecta; Hemiptera; Reduviidae
Description: partial 16S ribosomal RNA
Rfam family: Bacterial large subunit ribosomal RNA (bases 279-419)
Source: RNAcentral
GCUAGAAUGAAUGGUUGGACGAGAUAUGAGCUUUCUUUAAUUUAUCUUUAGAAUUUAAUUUUUUAGUUAAAAAGCUAAAAUUGAUUUGGGGGACGAGAAGACCCUAUAGAUCUUAAUAUAUUUGUAUAUUAUUUAUUGUAGAUAAUUAAUUAUAGUAAUUUAUAAGUGUAUUUGGUUGGGGCGACUGUGGAAUUUUAAAUAACUUCUAUUUAUAUAUUUUCAUUAAUUAAUGUUUUUGUGAUCCAUUAUUAUUGAUUAAAAGAUUAAGUUACCUUAGGGAUAACAGCGUAAUUUCUUUGGAGAGUUCUUAUCGAUAAAGGAGUUUGCGACCUCGAUGUUGGAUUAAAAUAAGUUAUAGGUGUAGAAGUUUAUAUACUAGGUCUGUUCGACCUUUAAUUUUUUACAUGAUCUGAGUUCAA